Molecule: ribosomal RNA, 475 nt
Filed under: uncultured bacterium
Lineage: Bacteria
Description: bacterial SSU rRNA
Rfam family: Bacterial small subunit ribosomal RNA
Source: RNAcentral
GAUGAAUGCUGGCGGCGUGCCUCAAACAUGCAAGUCGAGCGAGGCUAUGAGUUACCGCAAGGUAAGGCAUAGCCUAGCGGCGAACGGGUGAGUAACACGUGGGUAACCUACCUGGAAGACAGGGAUAACGAUUCGAAAGGGUCGCUAAUACCUGAUAAUAUCCAUCUGCCGGAUGGCGGAGGGAAGAAAGGGGAAACCCGCUUUCAGAUGGGCCCGCGUCCCAUCAGCUAGUUGGUAAGGUAAAGGCUUACCAAGGCGACGACGGGUAGCCGGUCUGAGAGGAUGUACGGCCACACUGGGACUGAGAUACGGCCCAGACUCCUACGGGAGGCAGCAGUUGGGAAUCUUAGGCAAUGGACGAAAGUCUGACCUAGCGACGCCGCGUGAGGGAAGAAGGCCUUCGGGUUGUAAACCUCUGUCAUGGGGGAAGAAGGAAGUGACGGUACCCCAAGAGGAAGCCCCUGCUAACUACGUG